This 350-nucleotide long non-coding RNA is filed under the name Equus caballus (horse). RNAcentral describes it as "lncRNA (ENSECAG00000046451.1)". Lineage: Eukaryota; Metazoa; Chordata; Mammalia; Perissodactyla; Equidae. The record is from RNAcentral.
GGGACAGUCAACCGGGCAGAGAUACCAGAGUCAACAGUCACCCCUCCACAUCCAGCUAAGGUGACCAGAGUCUUGCUCCAUAAGGGAAGAGAAAGCAGGCAUUUGAAAAAGCUCCUGGGGAUCGUGGUACCCACACCUGGCUGAGAUGACCUCUGAGGACCCUGCAGUCCUAGCACUGUGGGAUUCUGUGAUGUGAUCUAACUCAAAGCCUGCUGAGACUGUGCGGUGGAGACAUAUAUUACAGCCGGAGCUUUUUAUCUCGCACAUGUGACCCUGCCCAUCAUGAGCUGUAAGGCAACUGAGACUCAGAAGGUCACAGACACAGCUGGUAAAUAAAGCUGGAAUUGAAG